GUCACUAUAGCUCAGUGGUAGAGCACACGAUUGCAAUGGCUACGUAAGCAUCGUGUGGUCCCGUGUUCGAACCACGGUAGGGACU
This is a non-coding RNA of Leucogyrophana mollusca, 85 nucleotides long. Lineage: Eukaryota; Fungi; Basidiomycota; Agaricomycetes; Boletales. The record is from the annotation of a GenBank genome assembly.